UACGUAGGGGGCAAGCGUUGUCCGGAUUUAUUGGGCGUAAAGAGCGUGUAGGCGGCUUGACAGGUCUGCUGUGAAAACUCGAGGCUCAACCUCGAGAUGUCGGCGGAAACCGUCUGGCUAGAGUCCGGAAGAGGAGAGUGGAAUUCCUGGUGUAGCGGUGAAAUGCGCAGAUAUCAGGAAGAACACCUAUGGCGAAGGCGGCUCUCUGGGACGGUACUGACGCUGAGACGCGAAAGCGUGGGGAGCGAACAGG
Molecule: ribosomal RNA, 253 nt
Filed under: uncultured bacterium
Lineage: Bacteria
Description: partial 16S ribosomal RNA
Rfam family: Bacterial small subunit ribosomal RNA
Source: RNAcentral